Molecule: ribosomal RNA, 394 nt
Filed under: uncultured bacterium
Lineage: Bacteria
Description: bacterial SSU rRNA
Rfam family: Bacterial small subunit ribosomal RNA
Source: RNAcentral
GACGAACGCUGGCGGCGUGCUUAACACAUGCAAGUCGAGCGGUAAGGCCCUUUCGGGGGUACACGAGCGGCGAACGGGUGAGUAACACGUGGGUGACCUGCCCUCAGUUCUGGGAUAAGCCUGGGAAACCGGGUCUAAUACUGGAUAUGACCUCAUGACGCAUGUUGUGGGGUGGAAAGCCUCGUGCGACUGAGGAUGGGCCCGCGGCCUAUCAGCUUGUUGGUGGGGUGAUGGCCUACCAAGGCGACGACGGGUAGCCGGCCUGAGAGGGCGACCGGCCACACUGGGACUGAGACACGGCCCAGACUCCUACGGGAGGCGAGCAGGUGGGGAAUCUUGCGCAAUGGGCGAAAGCCUGACGCAGCGACGCCGCGUGAGGGAUGACGGCCUGGUU